Molecule: unclassified non-coding RNA, 535 nt
Filed under: Hevea brasiliensis (rubber tree)
Lineage: Eukaryota; Viridiplantae; Streptophyta; Magnoliopsida; Malpighiales; Euphorbiaceae
Source: RNAcentral
CUCGGUUAUAUCUACGAAUCUUGAAUGAAUAUCCACACAUCGAGUACUUCUCUGCUUUCAACAGUAUCUACAACAACACUGGCCUUUUCGGAAUUCAGGCAACCACUAGUGGAGAAUAUAUUUCCGAAGCUGUUGAUUUGGCAGUAAGGGAGCUUCUUCUAAUUGCAACCCCUGGACAAGUUGAUCAGAAACAACUAGAUCGUGCCAAAGAGGCUAGCAAGUCAGCUGUUCUGAUGAACCUUGAAUCUAAAUUGUUAGCCUCUGAAGAUAUUGGAAGGCAAAUCUUGACAUACGGAGAGAGGAAACCUAUAGAGAAGUUCCUGAAAGACGUCGAUGAGGUUUCGUUGGAAGAUAUCAGUAGCCUUUCCAAAAGGAUAAUUUCUUCACCUCUCACAAUGGGAUCUUACGGAGAUAUUCUCAAUGCCCCAAGUUAUGAAUCAGUCAGUCGGAAGUUUCGUUCGGAUUGAUUCGAUUAGCUGACUGUGUAAAGUUAUCUUGUUGCAUUUUUGGAUCUCCUCUAGUAUGAUCAUUGUCC